AGAGAUGGAUUGGUGCCUUCGGGAACUCUGACACAGGUGCUGCAUGGCUGUCGUUCAGCUCGUGUCGUGAGAUGUUGGGUUAAGUCCGUAACGAGCGCAACCCUUGUCCUUAGUUACCAGCACGUUAUGGUGGGCACUCUAAGGAGACUGCCGGUGACAAACCGGAGGAAGGUGGGGAUGACGUCAAGUCAUCAUGGCCCUUACGGCCUGGGCUACACACGUGCUACAAUGGUCGGUACAAAGGGUUGCCAAGCCGCGAGGUGGAGCUAAUCCCAUAAAACCGAUCGUAGUCCGGAUCGCAGUCUGCAACUCGACUGCGUGAAGUCGGAAUCGCUAGUAAUCGUGAAUCAGAAUGUCACGGUGAAUACGUUCCCGGGCCUU
This 381-nucleotide ribosomal RNA is filed under the name uncultured Pseudomonas sp. RNAcentral's name for it is "bacterial SSU rRNA". It matches the Rfam family "Bacterial small subunit ribosomal RNA", at positions 1002 to 1382 of the family's 1533-position model. Lineage: Bacteria; Pseudomonadati; Pseudomonadota; Gammaproteobacteria; Pseudomonadales; Pseudomonadaceae. The record is from RNAcentral.